GCCUGGGUGGUGGAACUGGUAGACACGCAAGACUAAGGAUCUUGUGGCCGUAAUCGGCUGUGGGGGUUCGAGUCCCCCCUCAGGCACCA
Molecule: transfer RNA, 89 nt
Filed under: Flexistipes sinusarabici
Lineage: Bacteria; Pseudomonadati; Deferribacterota; Deferribacteres; Deferribacterales; Flexistipitaceae
Also listed under: 1 other name
Description: tRNA-Leu
Rfam family: tRNA
About the family: Transfer RNA (tRNA) molecules are approximately 80 nucleotides in length. Their secondary structure includes four short double-helical elements and three loops (D, anti-codon, and T loops). Further hydrogen bonds mediate the characteristic L-shaped molecular structure. tRNAs have two regions of fundamental functional importance: the anti-codon, which is responsible for specific mRNA codon recognition, and the 3' end, to which the tRNAs corresponding amino acid is attached (by aminoacyl-tRNA synthetases). tRNAs cope with the degeneracy of the genetic code in two manners: having more than one tRNA (with a specific anti-codon) for a particular amino acid; and 'wobble' base-pairing, i.e. permitting non-standard base-pairing at the 3rd anti-codon position.
Source: RNAcentral